GGUUAAGCGACUAAGCGUACACGGUGGAUGCCCUGGCAGUCAGAGGCGAUGAAGGACGUGCUAAUCUGCGAUAAGCGUCGGUAAGGUGAUAUGAACCGUUAUAACCGGCGAUUUCCGAAUGGGGAAACCCAGUGUGAUUCGUCACACUAUCAUUAACUGAAUCCAUAGGUUAAUGAGGCGAACCGGGGGAACUGAAACAUCUAAGUACCCCGAGGAAAAGAAAUCAACCGAGAUUCCCCCAGUAGCGGCGAGCGAACGGGGAGCAGCCCAGAGCCUGAAUCAGUGUGUGUGUUAGUGGAAGCGUCUGGAAAGGCGCGCGAUACAGGGUGACAGCCCCGUACACAAAAAUGCACAUAUUGUGAGCUCGAUGAGUAGGGCGGGACACGUGGUAUCCUGUCUGAAUAUGGGGGGACCAUCCUCCAAGGCUAAAUACUCCUGACUGACCGAUAGUGAACCAGUACCGUGAGGGAAAGGCGAAAAGAACCCCGGCGAGGGGAGUGAAAAAGAACCUGAAACCGUGUACGUACAAGCAGUGGGAGCACGCUUCGGCGUGUGACUGCGUACCUUUUGUAUAAUGGGUCAGCGACUUAUAUUCUGUAGCAAGGUUAACCGAAUAGGGGAGCCGAAGGGAAACCGAGUCUUAACUGGGCGUUAAGUUGCAGGGUAUAGACCCGAAACCCGGUGAUCUAGCCAUGGGCAGGUUGAAGGUUGGGUAACACUAACUGGAGGACCGAACCGACUAAUGUUGAAAAAUUAGCGGAUGACUUGUGGCUGGGGGUGAAAGGCCAAUCAAACCGGGAGAUAGCUGGUUCUCCCCGAAAGCUAUUUAGGUAGCGCCUCGUGAAUUCAUCUCCGGGGGUAGAGCACUGUUUCGGCAAGGGGGUCAUCCCGACUUACCAACCCGAUGCAAACUGCGAAUACCGGAGAAUGUUAUCACGGGAGACACACGGCGGGUGCUAACGUCCGUCGUGAAGAGGGAAACAACCCAGACCGCCAGCUAAGGUCCCAAAGUCAUGGUUAAGUGGGAAACGAUGUGGGAAGGCCCAGACAGCCAGGAUGUUGGCUUAGAAGCAGCCAUCAUUUAAAGAAAGCGUAAUAGCUCACUGGUCGAGUCGGCCUGCGCGGAAGAUGUAACGGGGCUAAACCAUGCACCGAAGCUGCGGCAGCGACACUGUGUGUUGUUGGGUAGGGGAGCGUUCUGUAAGCCUGUGAAGGUGUGCUGUGAGGCAUGCUGGAGGUAUCAGAAGUGCGAAUGCUGACAUAAGUAACGAUAAAGCGGGUGAAAAGCCCGCUCGCCGGAAGACCAAGGGUUCCUGUCCAACGUUAAUCGGGGCAGGGUGAGUCGACCCCUAAGGCGAGGCCGAAAGGCGUAGUCGAUGGGAAACAGGUUAAUAUUCCUGUACUUGGUGUUACUGCGAAGGGGGGACGGAGAAGGCUAUGUUGGCCGGGCGACGGUUGUCCCGGUUUAAGCGUGUAGGCUGGUUUUCCAGGCAAAUCCGGAAAAUCAAGGUUGAGGCGUGAUGACGAGGCACUACGGUGCUGAAGCAACAAAUGCCCUGCUUCCAGGAAAAGCCUCUAAGCAUCAGGUAACAUCAAAUCGUACCCCAAACCGACACAGGUGGUCAGGUAGAGAAUACCAAGGCGCUUGAGAGAACUCGGGUGAAGGAACUAGGCAAAAUGGUGCCGUAACUUCGGGAGAAGGCACGCUGAUAUGUAGGUGAAGUCCCUCGCGGAUGGAGCUGAAAUCAGUCGAAGAUACCAGCUGGCUGCAACUGUUUAUUAAAAACACAGCACUGUGCAAACACGAAAGUGGACGUAUACGGUGUGACGCCUGCCCGGUGCCGGAAGGUUAAUUGAUGGGGUUAGCGCAAGCGAAGCUCUUGAUCGAAGCCCCGGUAAACGGCGGCCGUAACUAUAACGGUCCUAAGGUAGCGAAAUUCCUUGUCGGGUAAGUUCCGACCUGCACGAAUGGCGUAAUGAUGGCCAGGCUGUCUCCACCCGAGACUCAGUGAAAUUGAACUCGCUGUGAAGAUGCAGUGUACCCGCGGCAAGACGGAAAGACCCCGUGAACCUUUACUAUAGCUUGACACUGAACAUUGAGCCUUGAUGUGUAGGAUAGGUGGGAGGCUUUGAAGUGUGGACGCCAGUCUGCAUGGAGCCGACCUUGAAAUACCACCCUUUAAUGUUUGAUGUUCUAACGUUGGCCCCUGAUCGGGGUUGCGGACAGUGUCUGGUGGGUAGUUUGACUGGGGCGGUCUCCUCCUAAAGAGUAACGGAGGAGCACGAAGGUUGGCUAAUCCUGGUCGGACAUCAGGAGGUUAGUGCAAUGGCAUAAGCCAGCUUGACUGCGAGCGUGACGGCGCGAGCAGGUGCGAAAGCAGGUCAUAGUGAUCCGGUGGUUCUGAAUGGAAGGGCCAUCGCUCAACGGAUAAAAGGUACUCCGGGGAUAACAGGCUGAUACCGCCCAAGAGUUCAUAUCGACGGCGGUGUUUGGCACCUCGAUGUCGGCUCAUCACAUCCUGGGGCUGAAGUAGGUCCCAAGGGUAUGGCUGUUCGCCAUUUAAAGUGGUACGCGAGCUGGGUUUAGAACGUCGUGAGACAGUUCGGUCCCUAUCUGCCGUGGGCGCUGGAGAACUGAGGGGGGCUGCUCCUAGUACGAGAGGACCGGAGUGGACGCAUCACUGGUGUUCGGGUUGUCAUGCCAAUGGCACUGCCCGGUAGCUAAAUGCGGAAGAGAUAAGUGCUGAAAGCAUCUAAGCACGAAACUUGCCCCGAGAUGAGUUCUCCCUGACUCCUUGAGAGUCCUGAAGGAACGUUGAAGACGACGACGUUGAUAGGCCGGGUGUGUAAGCGCAGCGAUGCGUUGAGCUAACCGGUACUAAUGAACCGUGAGGCUUAACCUU
Molecule: ribosomal RNA, 2903 nt
Filed under: Escherichia coli
Lineage: Bacteria; Pseudomonadati; Pseudomonadota; Gammaproteobacteria; Enterobacterales; Enterobacteriaceae
Description: 23S ribosomal RNA
Rfam family: Bacterial large subunit ribosomal RNA
Source: RNAcentral